Molecule: long non-coding RNA, 423 nt
Organism: Mauremys reevesii (Reeves's turtle)
Lineage: Eukaryota; Metazoa; Chordata; Testudines; Geoemydidae
Exons: 4
Source: RefSeq, a predicted model, not a curated record
GGCAAGAACUCCUUCCUCAACUCUUGUGAAGCCAAGGAAGCAGCUGAGAUCUCUGCUAACGCUGUUGCAUCAAAGCAGGCCAACUUUCCUGAAAAUCAACUGCAGAACUCAGUUGUAAUAACUGCCAUCGUUGUUGACUAAUGAAGCCAAAGAGGGAGCCAGCACAAGGGUCAAUGAUCUGGGAAGUGGAAGAAAUUCUGAAAUGGAGUACUCCAUACAGUUUUUUCAACAGUCCUACCAACCAGAGCAGCAGGCCAAGACGGUGUGGCAGGCAGACCAACAGAAUGUUCUCCAGGACUUUAUCAAGGAACAGAUGGCCAUACAGCAUGGGAUACUGCAGAAUCUGAACAAUGAAAGAGGAAAAAGUCAACAAAUUAAGAAUAAAGGUUAAUAAGAAACACCAGAAUGAACAAAGUACAGAGG